Molecule: unclassified non-coding RNA, 200 nt
Filed under: soil metagenome
Description: partial contains internal transcribed spacer 2 and large subunit ribosomal RNA
Source: RNAcentral
GUCUCACGAUCGGCUCACCUUGAAUACAUUAGCUGGACUUGUCCUUGUAGACUGGUUUGACUUGGCGUAAUAAGUGUUUCGCUGAGGACAUUGCUUCGGUGAUGGCCAAUCCGCUCGACGAUUGUCUGCUUUCCAACCUGUCUUCGGACAAUACUCUAUGAUCUGGCCUCAAAUCAGGUAGGACUACCCGCUGAACUUAA